KGGYGUGGAUCGGCAUGCAGUCACGGGGGCCGCAAGGCAACCGGCGAACGGCUUAGUAACACGUAGGUMCWUACCCCAAAGUGGAGUACAGCUCGUCGAAAGACGGGGUAAUUCUCCAUAGUCUCGCAAGAGUAAAGCAGCAAUGCGCUUUGGGAAUGGCCUGCGGCCUAUCAGAUAGUUGGCAGGGUAACGGCCUACCAAGUCUAUGACGGGUAGGGGGCGUGAGAGCGCGACCCCCAAGAAUGGCACUGCGACACGGGCCAUACUCCUACGGGAGGCUGCAGUCGAGAAUCUUCCGCAAUGGACGAAAGUCUGACGGAGCGACGUUACGUGAAUGAAGACGCCCUUCGGGGUGUAAAGUUCUUUUCUCUGGGAGGAAGCCGCAAGGCAGACAGUACCAGAGGAAUAAGAGGGUCCUAACUCUGUGCCAGCAGGAGCGGUAAUACAGAGCCCUCAAGCGUUACCCGGAUUUAUUGGGCGUAAAGGGUCCGUAGGUGGUAAAGUAAGUUGAAAGUUAAAUCUCAUCGGCUCAACCUUUGAGAUGCUUUCAAUACUGCUAUACUAGAGGAUGUUAGGGGUGAACGGAACCGACGGAGUAGGGGUGAAAUCCGUUGAUAUCGUCGGGAACACCAAAAGCGAAGGCAGUUCACUAGGACAAUCCUGACACUGAGGGACGAAAGCGUGGGGAGCAAAAAGGAUUAGAUACCCUUGUAGUCCA
RNAcentral lists this ribosomal RNA (718 nucleotides) under uncultured bacterium. Its description in RNAcentral is "bacterial SSU rRNA". It matches the Rfam family "Bacterial small subunit ribosomal RNA", at positions 40 to 797 of the family's 1533-position model. The record is from RNAcentral.